RNAcentral lists this ribosomal RNA (434 nucleotides) under uncultured bacterium. Its description in RNAcentral is "partial 16S ribosomal RNA". It matches the Rfam family "Bacterial small subunit ribosomal RNA", at positions 29 to 507 of the family's 1533-position model. The record is from RNAcentral.
AGCGAACGCUGGCGGCAGGCCUAACACAUGCAAGUCGAACGAACCUUUCGGGGUUAGUGGCGGACGGGUGAGUAACACGUGGGAACGUGCCUUUAGGUUCGGAAUAACUCAGGGAAACUUGUGCUAAUACCGAAUGUGCCCUUCGGGGGAAAGAUUUAUCGCCUUUAGAGCGGCCCGCGUCUGAUUAGCUAGUUGGUUGAGGUAAUGGCUCACCAAGGCGACGAUCAGUAGCUGGUCUGAGAGGAUGAUCAGCCACAUUGGGACUGAGACACGGCCCAAACUCCUACGGGAAGCAGCAGUGGGGAAUCUUGCGCAAUGGGCGAAAGCCUGACGCAGCCAUGCCGCGUGAAUGAUGAAGGUCUUAGGAUUGUAAAAUUCUUUCACCGGGGAUGAUAAUGACGGUACCCGGAGAAGAAGCCCCGGCUAACUUCGUG